RNAcentral lists this ribosomal RNA (253 nucleotides) under uncultured bacterium. Its description in RNAcentral is "partial 16S ribosomal RNA". It matches the Rfam family "Bacterial small subunit ribosomal RNA", at positions 524 to 776 of the family's 1533-position model. The record is from RNAcentral.
UACAGAGGUCCCAAGCGUUGUUCGGAUUCACUGGGCGUAAAGGGUGCGUAGGCGGUCGGGUAAGUCUGGCGUGAAAUCUCCAAGCCUAACUUGGAAACUGCGUUGGAUACUAUCCGGCUCGAGGAAUGGAGGGGAGACUGGAAUACUUGGUGUAGUAGUGAAAUGCGUAGAUAUCAAGUGGAACACCAGUGGCGAAGGCGAGUCUCUGGACAUUUCCUGACGCUGAGGCACGAAAGCCAGGGGAGCAAACGGG